GUUGUUUAGCAUCUCUUUUUUAUUGUAUUUCUAUGUUGUCAAGCAACUUCAAAAGUUUUGUUAAGCUUUUACAUUCAUAUGUUAAAUUUACAACAUGUUUGAUGUUUCACCUUGAUGACUUAGGUUGAAUUCCUGAUCUUUUUUUUUUAACCACAAAAAAGGUGGGGUUAGGUGGAACCCCUAUCUUUCAUAUAAAUCAUAGAAUGAAUCAAAUACAUAAGGAGGUGAAUAUAAAUCAAAACCGCAAUUGCAAGAACAUAAGAAUGGAAAAGAGAAAAAUACAAGAUAAAAAAUGGAAUACAAAAAUAAGAAAUCCUAUUGCCUGAUAUGAGAAAUUACCCACAUAUCCAAACGGAGAUUAUUAGAUAAGCUAGCAGAGAUAUCCUGAGAACCCAAGAAACACCGAUGACCUUGAAGAGUGCAGGCCAACGAAAUCAGCAGUAGAAGUAGCCUUCUGAAGCACAUGACUAACCACGAAGUAGAAGAAAAUGUCAAACUACACACUCGACGCAAAGAAUAGGUAUAGUCCGA
This 531-nucleotide long non-coding RNA is filed under the name Citrus sinensis (sweet orange). RNAcentral's name for it is "long non-coding RNA (CSIN_LNC004921)". Lineage: Eukaryota; Viridiplantae; Streptophyta; Magnoliopsida; Sapindales; Rutaceae. The record is from RNAcentral.